GAGCAGGCACCAGGAAGAUCCCUGGAGCCAGGAAGAAAGGCAUCCGUAUAUGGGUCCAACAACCGAGCAGAAGUAAGCUGAGUCCUAAACAGGAUCGACGAAAGCAUCUCCUUCUGUUCUCCUUUUGUUACCGCCUAUCAUUUAUUCAAGUCUCAUAUGAACAUUCUAACUUUGUUCAGUUGGGCCAUGGGGAACCAACCAAGAGUCCUCUGUCCAGUGUAAGAAAAAAAAAGUGGGAAGCAGUUCCUCCUUAGGCCAAUGUAGUGACGCCAAGAUCAGCCAUAGACCCCAAAGGGAAGGAGAGUCUCAGGAGAAAGCCAAGGCCAAUGGCCCAUCCAGUGCCAGCCCUGGAGUUCUGAGAUUUGUUUUGUUUUUGUUUUUGUUUUUUACUACGGAAGGUGAAAUUUCCUCACAGCAAUAGGUAAACCUGGGCAGGUAUCCUGGGGCACAGGUGCUGAACGCCACAACAAACAGCAGCCAACAGAAGGAGGCCAGGCCAGCAACAACAGAGACAAAGGACCCAGAGCCUGAAAGGUCAGGGUGGAUGCUGAGAGAUGCACCGUGGAGGAGAGACAGACUCAGACACGACAGAGGCUCUGUGGCUGGACCUGGGACCCACCAAGUUCCCACUGAGAUUUCGCGUCUAUCAUCUAUGAGCUGAUGACUCUGAAAUCGGCAUCUCCAGCCUGGAUUCCUCGUCUGACCUCCAGAUUCCCAUAUCCAACUGACGUGCACUUGGAAGUCCACCAGGCAGCUCAAACUGAGCAGACCUCAGAGAGGACUCUUGGUUCUCCGGCCCUACCCCCACUGCUGCAUCCCCAGCCUUCCCAUCUCAGCAGAUGGCACCACCUCUCACACACUUGUUCAAGCCCAAAACGGGGACUCUUCUUUGAGCCUUCUCUUUCCUUGUCUCCUGCCCCAGCUAAACUAUCAACUGAUCAGUUAAUUCUACUGCCACAGUUCAAACCAAGACUGUCCCCUUCUCUCCAUCUCUGAUGCCACCACCCUACACCCUUGUCUACGCGCCCAUCAACCUCUAGCAGGGCACAGAGAAAUGGCCUCACGUCUGAUCUCUGUGAGGCCCUCUUCCCAGCAAUAACU
RNAcentral lists this long non-coding RNA (1101 nucleotides) under Equus asinus (donkey). RNAcentral's name for it is "lncRNA (ENSEASG00005037910.1)". The record is from RNAcentral. Lineage: Eukaryota; Metazoa; Chordata; Mammalia; Perissodactyla; Equidae.